Molecule: ribosomal RNA, 870 nt
Filed under: Triticum aestivum (bread wheat)
Lineage: Eukaryota; Viridiplantae; Streptophyta; Magnoliopsida; Poales; Poaceae
Description: partial small subunit ribosomal RNA
Source: RNAcentral
AUGUCCUUGAUCUCCAAAAUAGACCCAUAUACUAUGAAGAUGGAGAUGGGUGAUGGCACGUUCGUAGAUGUCAAUGCCAAUGUUGUUGCUAGAGCAAUUGCUCUCCCUAGCGGUGGUAGGAAAAUAGACACUCAGGGUGGGCAUUGCCUUGCAGACCGCGAGUACCUGCUUGGUAAGGUGCACGCAUUACUAGGCACGGACAUGCCGAGGUCAAACAAUAUUCCAGUUCAUGGUGUUAAGAAGAUAGUUCAGGGAGCUAGCAAGGUAGCCAUUGAGGGUGACGAGCGGACCGCGAUGAAGGCCGCCUUCGCGGUUGUAGCCAGCUCCACUUUCCUUGUGCGGAGCGGUGCAACUGCUAAAAUAGCAAAUGAGCUCCUACCCGUAGUUGCCGAGCCAGACAGAAUAUGCAAGUAUGAUUUCUGUGACUAUGUGGUUGAGGGACUUAGGGAAGCAGCACGGAAGCUUAGAGAUGAUCUAGCAACAAAUCCAGCAUUUGUUGUUCUUGGCGGGUGCCUUAUUGUACCACAGAUCAUAGGGUUGGACUACCAUGAGCAUAGUGUGCAAGGUUUGGAGCAGCUGCCACUGCCUAGGAUCUCUAGUUAUUCAGAUGUGUUGUUGAAGGAUCUCAUCCGCAAGCAUGCUACUAGAUUCGGGAUUGAAUGCGGUCUAGAUCUUGCGGAUGUCCCCCGCUCUCCAUCAAUGAACAUUCCACGCUCAGUUCCACUUGGGGGAAAUGGAAGAGCUGGAGGAGCUGAUCCGAUGCGUUCUGGUGGUGCAGCGCAACCCGCAAACAACAUGUGCCAUCAUGGGCCUGUGUGGACUGAUGAGAUGAUAGGUUCUGUCAAGGCUACGCUCGAGUGUCAGUUCUAG